GUCAGUAUAAAUGCUAAAU
Molecule: non-coding RNA, 19 nt
Filed under: Rattus norvegicus (Norway rat)
Lineage: Eukaryota; Metazoa; Chordata; Mammalia; Rodentia; Muridae
Source: RNAcentral